Molecule: ribosomal RNA, 1626 nt
Filed under: Triticum aestivum (bread wheat)
Lineage: Eukaryota; Viridiplantae; Streptophyta; Magnoliopsida; Poales; Poaceae
Description: partial small subunit ribosomal RNA
Source: RNAcentral
AUGUCAGGAAUAAAGAAGAUCCAUAACCAGCUAGCAUAUAAUAUUGAAGCUUACAUAAAUGGCACAAAAUAUAUAAUAGAUGAAAUUACAAUAAGAGAUUUGUCAGUAAUAAAUGAUGACAUGAUAAUAGGGUUAAGAUUUUUACAACAAUCUUUACAAACCACAAUCAUACAUGAAGAGGGGGUAACAUUUAUUCCUUAUCAAGAUAAUGUUCCAUACAUAUCUGAAGUGCGAAAACAAAGAAAGUCCUUGCAAAAUGUAGAAAUAUCUAAUUUAGAUGAUGAAUAUAGCACAAGUCCAGAUCCCCUUGAAUUCUGUAAAGACGAAGAACUUAGUGAGACCAUAGAAGAAUAUCAUAUAGAAAAUACAUGUACUGAAUGCAUUGGGUUGCAAUCAUUCUCUCCAAAUUGGUAUAGAGAUAUAAAAUCCAAAAAGGAUAUAGAUAAGAUUGUGCAAAGACUAGAAAGUAUACAAAUUAUUGGAGAAAUACCAAUGAAACAUUGGGAUAAGAACUUUAUAGUUUGCAAAAUAAAUAUCAUAAAUCCAGAUUAUAUAAUUAAGUCAGGACCAAUAGAAGCAACUCCUAAAGAUAUCGAAGAGUUCAAAAUGCAUAUUGAAGAGUUAUUAAAGUUAAAAGCUAUAAGAGAAAGCAGAAGCCCUCAUCGAUCUGCUGCUUUUAUAGUUAGAAAUCAUGCUGAAGAAGUUAGAGGCCUAAAGAAUGCACCUGCACUAUUUCAAAGAAAGAUGCAAAAUAUAUUUAAUGAGAAUCAAGCAUUUAUAUUAGUAUACGUAGAUGAUUUGUUAGUAUUCUCAAAAUCAUACAAAGAGCAUAUAGCCCAUCUUGAAGUGUUCUUUCGAAAGGUAGAACAAAAUGGGCUCAUACUAUCUAAAAAGAAGAUGGAGAUUUGCAGAGAGAAAAUAAAUUUCCUUGGUCAUGAAAUAGGAGAAGGAAAAAUAUAUCUACAAGAACAUAUUGCAAAGAAAAUAUUAGAGUUUCCUGAUAAUAUGAGUGAUAAAAAGGUUUUACAACAGUUCUUAGGAAUUGUGAACUAUGCGCGAAACUAUAUAGAUAACUUAGCAAAGCUAGUAGGACCUUUAUAUGCUAAAUUAAGAAAAAAUGGUCAAAGAUACUUCAAUUCUGAAGAUAUAAAAUUAGUAAAGGCCAUCAAGGAAAAGGUCAGGAAUUUAAAACCCCUAGAAUUGCCUCUAGAAGACAAUUAUUUUAUAAUUGAGACAGAUGCAUCUAAGGUAGGAUGGGGUGCGAUACUAAAACAAAAGCCCAAUAAAUACUCUCCAAAGGCAGACGAAAAAAUAUGCAGAUAUGCUUCAGGAAGUUACAAAUUAAAGACGGUAAAUAAUAUUGAUAGAGAAAUUCUUGCAGUUGUAAAUGCAAUAAAUGCAUUUAGGUUAUAUCUAGGAUUUAAAGAAUUUACAGUACGAACAGACUGUGAAGCCAUAUGCCGAUAUUACAAUAAAAUUAAUAGUAAGAAAAGCUCAACCAAAAGAUGGGUCUUAUUUGAAAACACCAUAGCUGGAAAUGGUUAUAAAGUUAUUUUUGAGCAUAUUAAGGGGAAGGAUAAUACCUUACCUGACAUAUUUUCUCGUGCAUCAAAUUUGCAGGAAUGA